RNAcentral lists this ribosomal RNA (556 nucleotides) under Phomopsis sp. INBio 479C. RNAcentral's name for it is "eukaryotic LSU rRNA". The stretch from base 208 to 361 matches the Rfam family "5.8S ribosomal RNA". The record is from RNAcentral. Lineage: Eukaryota; Fungi; Ascomycota; Sordariomycetes; Diaporthales; Diaporthaceae.
AAGGUCUCCGUUGGUGAACCAGCGGAGGGAUCAUUGCUGGAACGCGCCUCGGCGCACCCAGAAACCCUUUGUGAACUUAUACCUAUUGUUGCCUCGGCGAAGGCCGGCCUCUUCUGAGGCCCCUUGUCUCCAAGGAGCAGCCCGCCGGCGGCCAACCAAACUCUUGUUUCUUAGUGAAUCUCUGAGUAAAAAACAUAAAUGAAUCAAAACUUUCAACAACGGAUCUCUUGGUUCUGGCAUCGAUGAAGAACGCAGCGAAAUGCGAUAAGUAAUGUGAAUUGCAGAAUUCAGUGAAUCAUCGAAUCUUUGAACGCACAUUGCGCCCUCUGGUAUUCCGGAGGGCAUGCCUGUUCGAGCGUCAUUUCAACCCUCAAGCCUGGCUUGGUGUUGGGGCACUGCCUUGGAGACAAGGCAGGCCCUGAAAUCUAGUGGCGAGCUCGCUAGGACCCCGAGCGUAGUAGUUAUAUCUCGUUCUGGAAGGCCCUGGCGGUGCCCUGCCGUUAAACCCCCAACUUCUGAAAUUUUGACCUCGGAUCAGGUAGGAAUACCCGCUGAA